This 28-nucleotide non-coding RNA is filed under the name Homo sapiens (human). Lineage: Eukaryota; Metazoa; Chordata; Mammalia; Primates; Hominidae. The record is from RNAcentral.
UGUGGGUAUGCACAGGGGCAGUGAGGGC